Antechinus flavipes (yellow-footed antechinus) is the source of this 867-nucleotide long non-coding RNA. RefSeq lists it as uncharacterized. The record is from RefSeq and is a predicted model, not a curated record. Lineage: Eukaryota; Metazoa; Chordata; Mammalia; Dasyuromorphia; Dasyuridae. The transcript has 3 exons.
CUUCCUUCUCCACUAUGGCAACAGCUCAAAGUGAUAUCAGCCCUGGCAUUCAAGGGAGGAAAGUCACCCGUCCUGGCCGAAUUCCAUAGUUCUGUGAAGCAAUACUUUUAAGGGAUUAAGUCAGAGGAUUGGAGAACUGAGCUCUGCAGAGACCUGCCCCCUCCACAAAUUGCUUGUUAUUGGAGGGAAAUUACUGUUUUGGGGCUUAUCAGUUGUUAGAAGUUGGCAGAAAGUUCUCACCUAGCUAGACAAUUGCUCUUCAGGAAGACAGCUAGGUGGAGUAGUGGAUGGAGAACGGGACUUGGAUUCAAAAUAUAUCUGAAUUUGAAAACUGUCUUAGACAUUUACUAGCUGUAAGACAUUGGACAAGUCACUUAACCUUUGUCAAACCCAUCUGUCAAAUGGAGAUAACAAUAGCACCCAUCUCAGGAUGCUGUUAUAAGGAUAUGAGAGCCAUCACCGUCCAGUGGCAAGACAAAAGUCCAGAGGACUGGCCAUCAUGGCCCACGAAGCUGUGGGAGUUUCAACCUGGAAGUCAACCACAGAAUUGAAAGGAUUCAUGGAGAAAGGACCUGGUGCUUUACUAGACUGUCAGAGGGAUCCGGGAUACAGGGAAGGUGAAGAAUCCCCUGCCUGGACUGUCAUGAUGAGAUUCAUCUCUUUAUUUUGACCAAUAAGGCAAGCAUUGAUCCAAGGGGCCUCCAGAAACCAUGCUGCUCAUCUCCCUGCCUCUGUUAGUAUAGAUAUUCUGGGAAGAAAUAAUCCAGGUUCCUAUUUGUUCUCAGGUUUCUGCAAUAGAUGUGUAUAUAGAAGAUAAAGAAUACAUAUAAUAUAUAACAUAUAUCUAUAUAAUACUAAGUACAUCAG